UAGAGUUUGAUCCUGGCUCAGAGCGAACGCUGGCGGCAGGCCUAACACAUGCAAGUCGAGCGGCCGUAGCAAUACGGCAGCGGCAGACGGGAGAGUAACACGUGGGAACGCGCCCUUCGGUUCGGAAUAACUCAGGGAAACUUGGGCUAAUACCGGAUACGCCCUUACGGGGAAAGAUUUAUUGCCGAAGGAACGGCCCGCGUCCGAUCAGCUUGUAGGUGAGGUAACGGCUCACCAAGGCGACGAUCGGUAGCUGGUCUGAGAGGAUGACCAGCCUCACUGGGACUGAGACACGGCCCAGACUCCUACGGGAGGCAGCAGUGGGGAAUAUUGGACAAUGGGCGCAAGCCUGAUCCAGCCAUGCCGCGUGGGUGAUGAAGGCCCUAGGGUUGUAAAGCCCUUUCAGCGGGGAAGAUAAUGACGGUACCCGCAGAAGAAGCCCCGGCUAACUUCGUGCCAGCAGCCGCGGUAAUACGAAGGGGGCUAGCGUUGCUCGGAAUUACUGGGCGUAAAGCGCACGUAGGCGGAUUGUUAAGUCGGGGGUGAAAUCCUGGAGCUCAACUCCAGAACUGCCUUCGAUACUGGCGAUCUCGAGUUCGGGAGAGGUGAGUGGAACUGCGAGUGUAGAGGUGAAAUUCGUAGAUAUUCGCAAGAACACCAGUGGCGAAGGCGGCUCACUGGCCCGAUACUGACGCUGAGUGCGAAAGCGUGGGAGCAACAGGAUUAGAUACCCUGGUAGUCACGCUGUAACGAUGGAUGCUAGCCGUUGGCGAGCUUGCUCGUCAGUGGCGCAGCUAACGCUUUAAGCAUC
This 811-nucleotide ribosomal RNA is filed under the name uncultured soil bacterium. RNAcentral's name for it is "SSU rRNA". It matches the Rfam family "Bacterial small subunit ribosomal RNA", at positions 1 to 868 of the family's 1533-position model. The record is from RNAcentral.